Molecule: small RNA, 45 nt
Filed under: Sinorhizobium meliloti 2011
Lineage: Bacteria; Pseudomonadati; Pseudomonadota; Alphaproteobacteria; Hyphomicrobiales; Rhizobiaceae
Description: putative ncRNA
Source: RNAcentral
GCCAACCGGAUUUUCCUCUGCGGCAGAUUGCGGUACACCUGCCCC